Molecule: ribosomal RNA, 401 nt
Filed under: uncultured bacterium
Lineage: Bacteria
Description: bacterial SSU rRNA
Rfam family: Bacterial small subunit ribosomal RNA
Source: RNAcentral
UCGGGAAUUUUGGGCAAUGGGCGAAAGCCUGACCCAGCAACGCCGCGUGAAGGAUGAAGUUUUUCGGAAUGUAAACUUCGUAAGAAUAGGAAGAAUAAAUGACGGUACUAUUUGUAAGGUCCGGCUAACUACGUGCCAGCAGCCGCGGUAAUACGAAGGGGGCUAGCGUUGUUCGGAAUUACUGGGCGUAAAGCGCGCGCAGGCGGUCUUCCAAGUCAGUGGUGAAAGCCUGGAGCUCAACUCCAGAACUGCCAUUGAAACUGUUGGACUUGAGUACGAGAGAGGUGAGUGGAAUUCCCAGUGUAGAGGUGAAAUUCGUAGAUAUUGGGAAGAACACCAGUGGCGAAGGCGGCUCACUGGCUCGUAACUGACGCUCAGGCGCGACAGCGUGGGGAUCAAAC